Molecule: ribosomal RNA, 633 nt
Filed under: Salmonella enterica subsp. enterica serovar Stanley
Lineage: Bacteria; Pseudomonadati; Pseudomonadota; Gammaproteobacteria; Enterobacterales; Enterobacteriaceae
Description: partial 23S ribosomal RNA
Rfam family: Bacterial large subunit ribosomal RNA
Source: RNAcentral
CCUUUACUAUAGCUUGACACUGAACAUUGAGCCUUGAUGUGUAGGAUAGGUGGGAGGCUUUGAAGUGUGGACGCCAGUCUGCAUGGAGCCGGCCUUGAAAUACCACCCUUUAAUGUUUGAUGUUCUAACGUGGACCCGUAAUCCGGGUUGCGGACAGUGUCUGGUGGGUAGUUUGACUGGGGCGGUCUCCUCCUAAAGAGUAACGGAGGAGCACGAAGGUUGGCUAAUCCUGGUCGGACAUCAGGAGGUUAGUGCAAUGGCAUAAGCCAGCUUGACUGCGAGCGUGACGGCGCGAGCAGGUGCGAAAGCAGGUCAUAGUGAUCCGGUGGUUCUGAAUGGAAGGGCCAUCGCUCAACGGAUAAAAGGUACUCCGGGGAUAACAGGCUGAUACCGCCCAAGAGUUCAUAUCGACGGCGGUGUUUGGCACCUCGAUGUCGGCUCAUCACAUCCUGGGGCUGAAGUAGGUCCCAAGGGUAUGGCUGUUCGCCAUUUAAAGUGGUACGCGAGCUGGGUUUAGAACGUCGUGAGACAGUUCGGUCCCUAUCUGCCGUGGGCGCUGGAGAACUGAGGGGGGCUGCUCCUAGUACGAGAGGACCGGAGUGGACGCAUCACUGGUGUUCGGGUUGUCAUGCC